UUUGACCCUUAUCAAGUAUUCUGAUUAUCGUGGAAUGCCCAUUCAUAAGGUUAAAGAGAUCUGUGUCCACAUUUUGGUGGGUUUGGAUUACUUGCAUAGGCAGCUUUCUAUCAUACACACUGAUCUCAAGCCAGAGAAUAUAUUGCUAUUAUCAAUGAUAGAUCCAUCAAAGGAUCCGAGAAAAUCUGGUGCUCCUCUUAUUCUUCCAAAUAGUAAGGAUAAGACUGUAGUGGAAUCUGCAAUUGGCAAAAUAAAUGGAGAUUUGACAAGAAAUCAAAAG
RNAcentral lists this unclassified non-coding RNA (280 nucleotides) under Hevea brasiliensis (rubber tree). The record is from RNAcentral. Lineage: Eukaryota; Viridiplantae; Streptophyta; Magnoliopsida; Malpighiales; Euphorbiaceae.